Molecule: ribosomal RNA, 448 nt
Filed under: uncultured bacterium
Lineage: Bacteria
Description: bacterial SSU rRNA
Rfam family: Bacterial small subunit ribosomal RNA
Source: RNAcentral
UGGGGAAUUUUGGACAAUGGGCGAAAGCCUGACGCAGCAACGCCGCGUGAGGGAUGAAAUAUUUCGGUAUGUAAACCUCGCAAAUAUGGGAAGAACACAAUGACGGUACCAUAUGUAAGCCACGGCUAACUUCGUGCCAGCAGCCGCGGUAAUACGAAGGUGGCAAGCGUUGUUCGGAAUUACUGGGCGUAAAGCGCGUGUAGGCGGCUCUUCAAGUCAGACGUGAAAUCCCCGGGCUUAACCUGGGAACUGCGUUUGAAACUGAGGGGCUAGAGUGUGGAAGAGGGGGGUGGAAUUCCAGGUGUAGCAGUGAAAUGCGUAGAGAUCUGGAGGAACACCGAUGGCGAAGGCAGCCCCCUGGGCUAACACUGACGCUCAUGCACGAAAGCGUGGGGAGCAAACAGGAUUAGAUACCCACGUAGUCCCUGAGCGGGCUGGCAAGGCGCAU